AAAAACUUAGGAUAAUUAAGACCAAAAGCCUUCAAAGCUUUAAGCAGAAGUUAAAAUCUUCUAGUUUUUG
This 70-nucleotide transfer RNA is filed under the name Odontophrynus occidentalis. RNAcentral describes it as "tRNA-Trp". It matches the Rfam family "tRNA". From Rfam's summary of the family: Transfer RNA (tRNA) molecules are approximately 80 nucleotides in length. Their secondary structure includes four short double-helical elements and three loops (D, anti-codon, and T loops). The record is from RNAcentral. Lineage: Eukaryota; Metazoa; Chordata; Amphibia; Anura; Alsodidae.